Molecule: ribosomal RNA, 440 nt
Filed under: uncultured bacterium
Lineage: Bacteria
Description: partial 16S ribosomal RNA
Rfam family: Bacterial small subunit ribosomal RNA
Source: RNAcentral
CCUACGGGCGGCAGCAGUGGGGAAUAUUGCUCAAUGGGGGAAACCCUGAUGCAGCGACGCCGCGUGAGGGAAGAAGUAAUUCGUUAUGUAAAGCUCUUUCAGCAGGGAAGAAAAUGACGGUACCUGAGUAAGAAGCACCGGCUAACUACGUGCCAGCAGCCGCGGUAAUACGUAGGGGGCAAGCGUGAUCCGGAUUUACUGGGUGUAAAGGGAGCGUAGACGGGAGUGCAAGUCUGGAGUGAAAGGCGGGGGCUCAACCCCCGGACUGCUCUGGAAACUGUACGGCUGGAGUGCAGGAGAGGUAAGUGGAAUGCCUGGUGUAGCGGUGAAAUGCGUAGAUAUUAGGAAGAACACCAGUUGCGAAGGCGGCUUACUGGACUGUAACUGACGUUGAGGCACGAAAGCGUGGGGAGCAAACAGGAUUAGAUACCCGGGUAGUC